CCCCGACUUGAACGGAGCUCUUUUUUUCUUGCCGCUAUGGGGUUAUCAUUUUUGCGGCAAGAAAAAAAAGCGGGAGUGGAAGGCGGAAUAGGUG
This 94-nucleotide small RNA is filed under the name Flavobacterium branchiophilum. Its description in RNAcentral is "Flavo-1 RNA". Lineage: Bacteria; Pseudomonadati; Bacteroidota; Flavobacteriia; Flavobacteriales; Flavobacteriaceae. The record is from RNAcentral.